RNAcentral lists this transfer RNA (74 nucleotides) under Tuber melanosporum Mel28. RNAcentral's name for it is "tRNA-Val for anticodon AAC". Lineage: Eukaryota; Fungi; Ascomycota; Pezizomycetes; Pezizales; Tuberaceae. The record is from RNAcentral.
UGUUUUGUGGUGUAGUUGCUUAUUACACUAGUCUAACACACUGGUGGUUCCCGGUUUGAGCCUGGAUAAAAUCA